ACUAACCGGAUAUGGAUUGGUGCCAACGGGAGCAUUGACCGAGGUGCUGCAUGGCUUUAGUCAGUUCGUGUUAUGAGAUGCCAAUUUAAGUCCCGUAAUAUUGCAAUUCCUGGCCUUAGUUAGGCAGACGUAUUAUGGGCACUCUUGGACCCUGCCGGUGACAAACCGGAGGAAGGUGGGGGGAUGACGUCAAUUCAUCAUGGCCCUUACGGCCUGGGCUACACACGUGCUACAAUUUCCGAAACAGAGGGUUGCCAUUGCGCGAGGUGGAGCUGAUCCCACAAAACCGAUAAUUGUCCGGAUUCCAGAACGCAACUCGACUGGUUGAAGUCGGAAUCGCUAGUAAUUGCGAAUCAGAUAAUUGAUGGUGAAUACGUUGACCCUCCUUGUAGGCCAUCCCGU
This 402-nucleotide ribosomal RNA is filed under the name uncultured bacterium. RNAcentral's name for it is "bacterial SSU rRNA". It matches the Rfam family "Bacterial small subunit ribosomal RNA", at positions 995 to 1385 of the family's 1533-position model. The record is from RNAcentral.